UCCCAUCAGAUAUAUUUGAUUUCAUCGAAUAUACUCAGAUUAGGAUUAGAAAAAUCAAGAUGCGACUUGAUUCUCUUAUGAUUGCAGGUUACAGAUUGAGUUUGAACUUGAUUAACAAUGAUAGAAGAUAUAAUUAUUUUUAUAUUUAAGAUUAUGAAAAAUUUUAUAUAUCAUAUUUUAUAUUUAUUUUGAUAUAUUAUUUAUUGAUAAAUAGAAGGAAGAGCAAAAGGGCCUCC
RNAcentral lists this long non-coding RNA (236 nucleotides) under Elaeis guineensis (African oil palm). Its description in RNAcentral is "long non-coding RNA (EGUI_LNC012355)". Lineage: Eukaryota; Viridiplantae; Streptophyta; Magnoliopsida; Arecales; Arecaceae. The record is from RNAcentral.